GUCCUAUCCAUCCGGCCCAUUGGCUGGUCACCACCCAACGGACUGAAAGGAUUGGUCAAGAAUCAACGCCCCCUCCCCACCCACUCCCAGGAAAGCCCGCCUUCCGGACCUAAACAAAGCUUCCUAGUGGCCAGAACCCGAAAGAACUGUCCAAUCAGGACGGGCCCGACACGGAAUAUUUCCUCGAGGCCGAGACGUGGCGUUUUGAUUGGGCGUCACUACAGUGUUUCCCAGGCCGUCCAGACCAAUCAAAGGGGGUUCCCGGAACUCGGGAGCGGCGAAGGGAAGCCCCGCCCCCGAGCGUGACCGUCAUGAGGAAGGCGCUCCCUCAUUGGCACGCUGGGGCUUUUCCCGCGUGCUCCCGGGGCUGAAGGACGUUCCCGGGGAAGCCGCUGCUGGCGCGUGGGGUCCCGGUGGCUGUGGGGGACGCGCCGGGAUCUCCGGGAUCCCGCAGCCCGCCGCCGCUGCCGGUGGGGAGCCGGACGCGGGGGGCCUCGGGGCUGAGGUCCGCAGGGGUGCCGCGCCCUGGAGUCCGACUGCCUAGGAGUCCGGGCGUCGCUGCCGGCCGUGGGGGAGGGGCGAGCCUCCCGCCAGGCCCCGCCCCCUCGGCGCCGCGUCCCCACGGCCCCGGCGCCGCCCGCCUGCGCCCGCCUCCUGUGCCCGCCCCCGGUGAGCUCCGUUGUCCCCUUUUCUGGCGGCUUAAAAUACCGAAACUUUAUUUUGGUCACGUUGCCCAUGUGACCCGCGGAGCGGAUGACUCAUGGUUGCCUGUCCCAGGAUGAGGCCGCCGGCCGAAAGCAGAGAAGCGCCAGCCCCGGCCGCCCGGGUGGAGCGCUGGGCAGCCGAGUUUCCCACCCUCCUCAAUCCGGAGAGUCCGCGCGGGGCUUUUCCUAAUAAAUAGCCAGGCACCCGCUGCCCUCGCGCUGCGUACGGGAGCACGUGCCCCCCGGGAGGUGGGCGCCCGCCAGGUGCCCCGGGAACGAGCCUAGGAACCGGGUCCGCCGAGUGCGGCUCUCGGGGCGGCUAGGCGUGCGGGUGGCUGGGCAGCGCUCCCAGGGACCGGCCUCUCUCCGGAGAAAGUAAGGAAUUCUGCUCCUGGGCAGGUAAUACCGGAAACAAAAGGAGAGGCUGCAAUCGCAAAUUGUUUAAAAAGAAGAAAAAGGAAAGAAAAGUUGAAUGUAAGAGCUCCAGCCCCUCAAUGUGAUCUUGUACGGUUUGCAGUAAGAACAUUUCAUUCUUCCGCAUUUUAUUUUUCCUUUUGCUACUGUUGGUGACAACUAGCAAAAUAAGUGAAAAAUCCUCGUUCAAGUGUUCUGGCAUUAAGAUUGACUGUCACACUGAAUUCUGUGCCAAUCCUAACAACAUGUGUUCUUUUUCUGGUCUUCACAAGUAAGAAUGUCUUAGGUUUUCCAGAAAUAAAGAUGUCCCAAAAGAAUGUUUUGUGUUACACACUCAUUCUUCAAGAAACUUUAAUUUUAUGAGCCUCAAAAAUUGCAAAAUUUUAACAACGGCGGGACAAUAUUUUAUCGAUUAGCAUUCUUAAUAGCACCUAUGUUGACGAUUUGUGUGGAGAAACGGAUUCUUAAAAGAAGUGCUGGUGGCAUUGUAAAUUAGUAUAUUCCUUUCGAAAAGCAAUUUUACAGUAUGUAUUAAAAGCCAUAAAAAUGUCUGCAUCUUUUGACCCAGUGAUCUUACUUCUGGGAAUCUGUUCUAAGGAAAUAACACUAAAUGCCAGAAAAGCUGUAUGUGUGAAGGUAUUCUUCACAGGAUCACUGUACUUAACUACAACAAAA
This 1793-nucleotide long non-coding RNA is filed under the name Homo sapiens (human). Its description in RNAcentral is "HSALNT0290060". The record is from RNAcentral. Lineage: Eukaryota; Metazoa; Chordata; Mammalia; Primates; Hominidae.